Molecule: ribosomal RNA, 468 nt
Filed under: uncultured bacterium
Lineage: Bacteria
Description: partial 16S ribosomal RNA
Rfam family: Bacterial small subunit ribosomal RNA
Source: RNAcentral
GACGAACGCUGGCGGCGUGCUUAACACAUGCAAGUCGAACGGAAAGGCCCUGCUCUUGUGCGGUGCUCGAGUGGCGAACGGGUGUGUAACAUGUGAGUGACCUGCCCUUUACUUUGGGAUAUCUUCAGGAGACUCGGGCUCAUAUAGGGUAGGAGCUCCUGCAGCAUGUUGGGGGUUGUAAAGUUUCGUUGGUUGGGGAUGGAUUCGCGGCUUAUCAGCUUGUUGGUGGGGUAGUGGCUUACCAAGGCUUUGACGGGUAGCCGGCCUGAGAGGGUGACCGGCCACAUUGGGACUGAGAUACGGCCCAGACUCCUACGGGAGGCAGCAGUGGGGAAUAUUGCACAAUGGGCGGAAGCCUGAUGCAGCAACGCCGCGUGCGGGAUGACGGCCUUCGGGUUGUAAACCGCUUUCACCAGGGACGAAGCGUGAGUGACGGUAAUUGGUAAAGAAGCGCCGGCUAACUACGUG